RNAcentral lists this ribosomal RNA (327 nucleotides) under uncultured eukaryote. RNAcentral's name for it is "partial 18S ribosomal RNA". It matches the Rfam family "Eukaryotic small subunit ribosomal RNA", at positions 1470 to 1796 of the family's 1831-position model. The record is from RNAcentral.
CCCUUAGAUGUUCUGGGCCGCACGCGCGCUACACUGACGGAUUCAACGAGCUUACAACCUUGACCGAAAGGUCUGGGUAAUCUCCAAAAUCCGUCGUGAUGGGGAUAGAUUAUUGCAAUUAUUAAUCUUCAACGAGGAAUGCCUAGUAAGCGCAAGUCAUCAGCUUGCGUUGAUUACGUCCCUGCCCUUUGUACACACCGCCCGUCGCUCCUACCGAUUGAAUGGUCCGGUGAAGCGUUUGGACUAUGGUUUUCUGAUGGUCCGCCGUUGGAUUACCGUGGGAAGUUCGUUAAACCUUAUCAUUUAGAGGAAGGAGAAGUCGUAACA